AGGGAGGUAUCUCAGUGGUAGAGCUUGUGCUUACCAGGUGCGAGGCCCUGGGUUCAAUCUGCAGCAUCCCAA
This 72-nucleotide transfer RNA is filed under the name Marmota monax (woodchuck). Its description in RNAcentral is "tRNA.Gly". The record is from RNAcentral. Lineage: Eukaryota; Metazoa; Chordata; Mammalia; Rodentia; Sciuridae.